AGUUGAGGGAAACCCCGAAGAACCAGCAAUUGAAGGAAAAUCUAAAGAACUUGUUGAUGAAGAGACACCUGAUGUACCAGUGGUUGAGAAACCUGAAAAACAAAUGGUUGAGGAGAAACUUGAAGAACCAAUGAUUGAGGAGAAAUCUGACGAACUAGUCGAGGAGAAAUCUCAACAACCAGCGGCUGAAAAGAAACCUGAAGAACCAGCAGCUAAAGAAUCACCUAAAGAGGUAGCAGGGGAGGAAACAUCUGAAGAACUAGCACUUGAAGAGAAACUUAAAGAACCAACAGUUGAAGAGAUACCUAAAGAACUAGUUCUUGAAGAUAAACCUGGAAACCCAGAAAAUGAAGAGGAUAAACUUGAAACAGUAACUCUCCAGGAAAAGGUAAGAAACAAGCAGUGUCACAGAGUUUAUCCAUCCUAUUAGCUCUAUAUAUGCAACGAAUUCACAUCUGUUUAUCCACUGAAAGACCAAGUGAAACUUUAAAUUUUCUUGCAGAAUUUACCAAUUGCAGACUCAAAGGACAAGACUGACAAUGCAACUCCCUACAACAACAAUGAUAUUGCUGACUAUGUAGCAGUUAAGGAAAAAACUGAAGAACCAGUAGUUGAGGAAAAACAUGAAGAACCGGCAAUUGAAGAGAAAUCUGAAGAAUCAGCAUUAAUGAAAAAAACUGAAGAACCAGCGGUUGAGGUAAAACCUGAAGAACCGUCAGUGGAAAAGAAGCCUGAAGAACCAGCGGUUAGGAAAAAACCUGAAGAACCAGCAGUUAAUGAGGAACCUGAAAAAUCAGCAACGGAAGAGAAACCUGAAGAACCAAUUGUUGAGGAGAAACUUGAAGAACCAACUCUUGAAGAGAAACCUGGAAAAUCAGUAAUUGAAGAAACACCUGAAGAACCAACACUGGAAGUAACACCUAAAGAACAAGCGUUUAAAGAGAAACCAGAAGAACCAGCAGUUGAAGAGGAAAAAUCUGACAAGGUAACUCUUUUGGAAAAGGUGAGCAUCAAACAUUGUCACAAAUUUUAGCCAUCCUACUAGUUCUGUAUGUGCAAUAAUUCGUAUCAACUUAUCUAUUGAAAGACUAAGUGAAACUUUAAUUCUUCUUGCAGAAUAUACCAGUUGUAGAUUUCAAUGAUAAGACUGACAGUGUAAUUCCAUGCAAUACCAACGACGAUGUUGCUGAAUACGUAGCAGUUGAGGAAAACCUUGAAGAACCAACAGUUGAGGAGAAACCUGAAGAAUUAGCGGUUGAAGAGAAACCUGAAAAACCAGCAAUUGAGGAGAAAAGUGAAGAACCAAUAAUUGAGAAGAAACCUAAAGAACCAGCAGUUGAGGAGAAACCUGAAGAACAAACCGUUGAAGAGAAACUUGAAGAACCAACAAUUGAAGAUGAGAAACUUGAAAGGG
Molecule: long non-coding RNA, 1414 nt
Filed under: Nicotiana tabacum (common tobacco)
Lineage: Eukaryota; Viridiplantae; Streptophyta; Magnoliopsida; Solanales; Solanaceae
Description: long non-coding RNA (NTAB_LNC000540)
Source: RNAcentral